Molecule: ribosomal RNA, 420 nt
Filed under: uncultured bacterium
Lineage: Bacteria
Description: bacterial SSU rRNA
Rfam family: Bacterial small subunit ribosomal RNA
Source: RNAcentral
GAGGAAUAUUGGACAAUGGGUGAGAGCCUGAUCCAGCCAUCCCGCGUGAAGGACGACGGCCCUAUGGGUUGUAAACUUCUUUUAUACUGGGAUAAACCUACUUACGUGUAAGUAGCUGAAGGUACAGUAUGAAUAAGCACCGGCUAACUCCGUGCCAGCAGCCGCGGUAAUACGGAGGGUGCAAGCGUUAUCCGGAUUUAUUGGGUUUAAAGGGUCCGUAGGCGGACUCGUAAGUCAGUGGUGAAAUCUCAUAGCUUAACUAUGAAACUGCCAUUGAUACUGCGGGUCUUGAGUAAAGUAGAAGUGGCUGGAAUAAGUAGUGUAGCGGUGAAAUGCAUAGAUAUUACUUAGAACACCAAUUGCGAAGGCAGGUCACUAUGUUUUAACUGACGCUGAUGGACGAAAGCGUGGGGAGCGAAC